This 951-nucleotide ribosomal RNA is filed under the name Streptomyces sp. LK1312.6. RNAcentral's name for it is "partial 16S ribosomal RNA". It matches the Rfam family "Bacterial small subunit ribosomal RNA", at positions 26 to 997 of the family's 1533-position model. Lineage: Bacteria; Bacillati; Actinomycetota; Actinomycetes; Kitasatosporales; Streptomycetaceae. The record is from RNAcentral.
GCANCNUACGCUNUGNGNCAUNCUCUAANACAUGCAAGUCGAACGAUGAAGCCCUUCGGGGUGGAUUAGUGGCGAACGGGUGAGUAACACGUGGGCAAUCUGCCCUUCACUCUGGGACAAGCCCUGGAAACGGGGUCUAAUACCGGAUAANACUCCUGCCUGCAUGGGCGGGGGUUGAAAGCUCCGGCGGUGAAGGAUGAGCCCGCGGCCUAUCAGCUUGUUGGUGGGGUAAUGGCCCACCAAGGCGACGACGGGUAGCCGGCCUGAGAGGGCGACCGGCCACACUGGGACUGAGACACGGCCCAGACUCCUACGGGAGGCAGCAGUGGGGAAUAUUGCACAAUGGGCGAAAGCCUGAUGCAGCGACGCCGCGUGAGGGAUGACGGCCUUCGGGUUGUAAACCUCUUUCAGCAGGGAAGAAGCGAAAGUGACGGUACCUGCAGAAGAAGCGCCGGCUAACUACGUGCCAGCAGCCGCGGUAAUACGUAGGGCGCAAGCGUUGUCCGGAAUUAUUGGGCGUAAAGAGCUCGUAGGCGGCUUGUCACGUCGGAUGUGAAAGCCCGAGGCUUAACCUCGGGUCUGCAUUCGAUACGGGCUAGCUAGAGUGUGGUAGGGGAGAUCGGAAUUCCUGGUGUAGCGGUGAAAUGCGCAGAUAUCAGGAGGAACACCGGUGGCGAAGGCGGAUCUCUGGGCCAUUACUGACGCUGAGGAGCGAAANCGUGGGGAGCGAACAGGAUUAGAUNCCCUGGUAGUCCACGCCGUAAACGUUGGGAACUAGGUGNUGGCGACNUUCCACGUNGUCGGNGCCCNANCUNACGCAUNANUUNCCCNCCUGGGGNAUNCNGCCNCAGGGNUAAACUCAANGNANUGACGGGGGCCCCCNNAACNGCGGNACAUGNGGNUUAUUUNACCCACCCNAAAAACNUNCCAGGGNUGNNNUNNCCNGNAAAU